UUUCAUAAUAAAUCUUGGUGAUAUGCUAGAGCAAUGGAGCAAUUGUAUUUUCAGGCAACUCUAUAUUGUUAACCUGUCCAAAACUCCACCAGAAUUUCCUCUGUUGCGCCCUCUUGGCUCUUUCUAAUAUCAGUGGCCCGUUAGUAGCGACGGUUGGUGUCCCUGCUCAAACAAGUCUUCGAUUCUCCUGCCUUUUUCUGCUAUGUUUAGUUCGAUUUCCGGUACAUGAAACCGAGGAAACCAAAAUUUUUCGAGUCGAGAGGGACACUGAUGGAUGAAUCCAAUCCGUUGGCCUCUAGGCAUGCUUGGAUGCUGGCUUUUUCUACGUGAUCAAUCAUGGAGUCAACCCGGACUUGAUGGAGGAGGUGUUCGUCCAGAGCAGGCAGUUCUUUGGUCUGCCUUUGAGAGAGAAAACGAAGCUGCUGAGGAACAAGAAGCACCGAGGCUACACUCCUCUGUUCGAUCAGGUCCUCCACCCUGCAAAUCAGAUAAACAGUUUGUGUCUGAUCAUCCUGCUGAAGAUUUUACUGCUUAAAGUGGACAUGGAUGAAUAGCUGGUGAUUUUGAUGGCUGUAAUCAGGAGAUUAUAAGGAGGGAUACUACUUACGAGUGGAAGUACCAGAGGACGAUCCUCGUGCGUAGUAGCCUCAUUUUGGACUGAACCCCAGGCCUUCUGAGGGUAAACUGCUGUUUAAUGUAAUUUCUGUCCAACUUAAAUCAGUUGUUGAUUGUGGAUGUUUAUUUUGGUUUCAUUGUAGUAUUUUGAGUAGAAAUAUUGCCAAGAUGGAGGCAGGCGAUGGAAAAUUUCGUUGUCAAGCAUCGUGAGUCUUUACUAUAGAUGAUGAUAUAGAGCCAUAGGCAUUAAUUUUUCUUGCUAGUUCCCGGAUGUAAAUUUUAUUCCAUCCAAGUAAAAGAUAAUACAUAGAUCUUCUGUUUCUCUGAUGGGGUAUUUUGGGCAUUUUCAGUACCCGAUAGUCACUAUCGCCCCCUUCUAUAUGCAUCAGACAUUGCCAAAUUCCUGUAUUUUUGAAGGUGGCCCAAUGGGAGUUAAAUUGCCUCUGCCUUUUGAACUGAAUAUGCUCUCUUGGGCUCUUAUCCUACGUUGGCCAAAGUGAAACUCUUCUGGUUAUUUGUAGCGGCUGAUUAAACAAUUUUCUGGGGUAUUGUUCCAAAGCUGCUAUGCUACAAUAUGAACCAGUUAUUUUUAGCUGUCAAGAUUUAUCAUUAAUCACACUGACCAAGAGCCUCAACGCAAGGGUCUAAUUGCUUAC
Molecule: RNA transcript, 1271 nt
Organism: Eucalyptus grandis
Lineage: Eukaryota; Viridiplantae; Streptophyta; Magnoliopsida; Myrtales; Myrtaceae
Gene name: 2-oxoglutarate-dependent dioxygenase citB-like
Exons: 3
Source: RefSeq, a predicted model, not a curated record